Molecule: long non-coding RNA, 312 nt
Filed under: Phaseolus vulgaris (common bean)
Lineage: Eukaryota; Viridiplantae; Streptophyta; Magnoliopsida; Fabales; Fabaceae
Description: long non-coding RNA (PVUL_LNC004008)
Source: RNAcentral
GACAUUAACUUAACAAGUGUUAAGUAGAUGUGACAAUUCAUUUCCAUAAGGCCAAAGGAAAAACACAAUUAAAGGUGAAUAUGAAUUACAAACUAGAUGCAGAAUUUAAUCAAACACAAGGAGUGCUAGAACAUGAACCGAAUUGAAUUAAAGGAAGCAAAAACAAGAACAAGACAUAUUUUGGAAUUGAAAAUAGGAAUGGAAAAAGAUGAGUGAAAGGAAACUUAGGAGAUGGUGAAAUUGUGAAUGAGCACGACACUUGGAUGGUGAAUUGAAUCCAAGAUAACUAUAGAUGCCGCCACUUGAGAGCUC